UCCUCGAAUUACGAGGCAGUCUGACUAGAGAGUGCAACUAGUCACGAGGGUUGCGCUCGUUGCGGGACUUAACCCAACACCUCACGACACGAGCUGACGACAGCCAUGCACCACCUGUGACCGUGCCCCGAAGGGGAAACCACAUUUCUGCGGCGAUCCGGCCCAUGUCAAGCCUUGGUAAGGUUCUUCGCGUUGCAUCGAAUUAAUCCGCAUGCUCCGCCGCUUGUGCGGGCCCCCGUCAAUUCCUUUGAGUUUUAGCCUUGCGGCCGUACUCCCCAGGCGGGGUGCUUAAUGCGUUAGCUUCGGCACGGAGGGAGUCGACACCCCCCACACCUAAUGCCCAUCGUUUACGGCGUGGACUAC
Molecule: unclassified non-coding RNA, 363 nt
Filed under: uncultured Actinomycetes bacterium
Lineage: Bacteria; Bacillati; Actinomycetota; Actinomycetes
Description: uncultured actinobacterium contains 16S-23S intergenic spacer region
Source: RNAcentral